Herpailurus yagouaroundi (jaguarundi) is the source of this 483-nucleotide long non-coding RNA. RefSeq lists it as uncharacterized. The transcript has 2 exons. Lineage: Eukaryota; Metazoa; Chordata; Mammalia; Carnivora; Felidae. The record is from RefSeq and is a predicted model, not a curated record.
UUCUGGAAACUCUCUUCAGAGGAUGGUGAAAUCCAAUGACAUCAUCAGUAAAUAUGGAGGUCUGGGUUUCCAACCAAAAUGACUGUGCUCUCCCUGUAAAUUAUUCCGUAAUUAUGUAGGUAGAAGUCUCAGUUAAGUUGCCUUUGCAAGCCUUUUUUCAUGUUCCUUGACUUCUUGAUUUUUCAGCUGUUAGACAGAAAGUUUCAUGUGCUCAAUUUCAGAACUAGUUGAGAAUUGCUGUGGUUUUUUUUUGGUAUCUGAGAAAACUGUAUCUUCGUUGGUUCUGACUUUAACUUAGAAAAGUCAAUUUAUCCAUAGUCUCUCCACCUGCAAGAAAGUGUCAAAUGAAGUUUCCCCAGGAGAAAGGGGUCAUCAGAACUACAUUUCCACAAUUACCACCGACACGGUGUUCUGCGGUAUUUAUUAUCUGUGGAUGUAUUGAGGUUUUAAUCAAAAGACGUCAAUAGAUUUUCUCUAAGAAUU